CUAUGCGCCUUGCCAGCCCGCUCAGGUGUGCCAGCGCCGCGGUAAUACGUAGGUGGCAAGCGUUGUCCGGAUUUACUGGGUGUAAAGGGCGUGUAGCCGGGCUGACAAGUCAGAUGUGAAAUCCGGGGGCUCAACCCCCGAACUGCAUUUGAAACUGUUGGUCUUGAGUAUCGGAGAGGCAGGCGGAAUUCCUAGUGUAGCGGUGAAAUGCGUAGAUAUUAGGAGGAACACCGGUGGCGAAGGCGGCCUACUGGACGGUGACUGACGCUGAGGCUCGAAAGCGUGGGGAGCAAACAGG
RNAcentral lists this ribosomal RNA (298 nucleotides) under uncultured bacterium. Its description in RNAcentral is "partial 16S ribosomal RNA". It matches the Rfam family "Bacterial small subunit ribosomal RNA", at positions 475 to 776 of the family's 1533-position model. The record is from RNAcentral.